Molecule: ribosomal RNA, 254 nt
Filed under: uncultured bacterium
Lineage: Bacteria
Description: partial 16S ribosomal RNA
Rfam family: Bacterial small subunit ribosomal RNA
Source: RNAcentral
UACGUAGGGUGCAAGCGUUGUCCGGAAUUAUUGGGCGUAAAGAGCGUGUAGGCGGCCCGAUUAGUCCGCUGUGAAAGUCCAGGGCUCAACCCUGGAAUGCCGGUGGAUACUGUCGGGCUAGAGUCCGGAAGGGGCGAGUGGAAUUCCUAGUGUAGCGGUGAAAUGCGCAGAUAUCAGGAGGAACACCAAUGGCGAAGGCAGCUCGCUGGGACGUGGCUGACGCUGAGAACGCGAAAGCGUGGGGAGCAAACAGG